RNAcentral lists this unclassified non-coding RNA (329 nucleotides) under soil metagenome. RNAcentral's name for it is "partial contains 5.8S ribosomal RNA, internal transcribed spacer 2, and large subunit ribosomal RNA". The stretch from base 1 to 120 matches the Rfam family "5.8S ribosomal RNA", at positions 35 to 154 of the family's 154-position model. The record is from RNAcentral.
GAUGAAGAACGUAGCGAAAUGCGAUAAGUAGUGUGAAUUGCAGAAUUCAGUGAAUCAUCGAAUCUUUGAACGCACAUUGCGCCCCUUGGUAUCCCGAGGGGCAUGCCUGUUCGAGCGUCAUUUCACCACUCAAGCCUGGCUUGGUGUUGGGCGACGUCCCCUUUGGGGACGCGCCUAGAAACGCUCGGCGGCGUGGCACCGGCUUUAAGCGUAGCAGAAUCUUUCGCUUUGGAAGUCGGGGCCCCGUCUGCCGGAAGACCUACUCGCAAGGUUGACCUCGGAUCAGGCAGGGAUACCCGCUGAACUUAAGCAUAUCAAUAAGCGGAGGA